CCAUCGGUGGUUCAGUGGUAGAAUGCUCGCCUGCCCGGGUUCGAUUCCCGGCCGAUGCA
Molecule: transfer RNA, 59 nt
Filed under: Cordylochernes scorpioides
Lineage: Eukaryota; Metazoa; Arthropoda; Arachnida; Pseudoscorpiones; Chernetidae
Description: tRNA-OTHER
Rfam family: tRNA
About the family: Transfer RNA (tRNA) molecules are approximately 80 nucleotides in length. Their secondary structure includes four short double-helical elements and three loops (D, anti-codon, and T loops).
Source: RNAcentral